Juglans microcarpa x Juglans regia is the source of this 161-nucleotide long non-coding RNA. RefSeq lists it as uncharacterized. The transcript is spliced from 2 exons. NCBI's taxonomy places the organism in Eukaryota, Viridiplantae, Streptophyta, Magnoliopsida, Fagales, Juglandaceae. The record is from RefSeq and is a predicted model, not a curated record.
GAGGAGCUGAUCAUUAUCCAGAAAAUGUUGUAGAAAUACAAGUAAGGUAGUGAAAUAAUUACCACAAAAAGUGGUGAAAAGUAAGGCUACCAAAAUGAAAAGCUAACCAACAUAAUCGAUAAAGAAGGUUAUCAUAAAAGUCAGGAUGCUACGUCAUAAGG